AGAGUUUGAUCCUGGCUCAGAUUGAACGCUGGCGGCAUGCUUUACACAUGCAAGUCGGACGGCAGCACAGAGAAGCUUGCUUCUUGGGUGGCGAGUGGCGAACGGGUGAGUAAUAUAUCGGAACGUACCGAGUAAUGGGGGAUAACUAAUCGAAAGAUUAGCUAAUACCGCAUAUUCUCUGAGGAGGAAAGCAGGGGACCUUCGGGCCUUGCGUUAUUCGAGCGGCCGAUAUCUGAUUAGCUAGUUGGUGGGGUAAAGGCCUACCAAGGCGACGAUCAGUAGCGGGUCUGAGAGGAUGAUCCGCCACACUGGGACUGAGACACGGCCCAGACUCCUACGGGAGGCAGCAGUGGGGAAUUUUGGACAAUGGGCGCAAGCCUGAUCCAGCCAUGCCGCGUGUCUGAAGAAGGCCUUCGGGUUGUAAAGGACUUUUGUCAGGGAAGAAAAGGCUGUUGCUAAUAUCGACAGCUGAUGACGGUACCUGAAGAAUAAGCACCGGCUAACUACGUGCCAGCAGCCGCGGUAAUACGUAGGGUGCGAGCGUUAAUCGGAAUUACUGGGCGUAAAGCGAGCGCAGACGGUUACUUAAGCAGGAUGUGAAAUCCCCGGGCUCAACCUGGGAACUGCGUUCUGAACUGGGUGACUAGAGUGUGUCAGAGGGAGGUAGAAUUCCACGUGUAGCAGUGAAAUGCGUAGAGAUGUGGAGGAAUACCGAUGGCGAAGGCAGCCUCCUGGGAUAACACUGACGUUCAUGCUCGAAAGCGUGGGUAGCAAACAGGAUUAGAUACCCUGGUAGUCCACGC
RNAcentral lists this ribosomal RNA (803 nucleotides) under uncultured bacterium. RNAcentral's name for it is "bacterial SSU rRNA". It matches the Rfam family "Bacterial small subunit ribosomal RNA", at positions 8 to 800 of the family's 1533-position model. The record is from RNAcentral.